This 460-nucleotide ribosomal RNA is filed under the name uncultured bacterium. RNAcentral describes it as "partial 16S ribosomal RNA". It matches the Rfam family "Bacterial small subunit ribosomal RNA", at positions 338 to 795 of the family's 1533-position model. The record is from RNAcentral.
CCUACGGGGAGCAGCAGUGAGGAAUAUUGGUCAAUGGGCGUAAGCCUGAACCAGCCAAGUCGCGUGCGGGAUGAAGGUUCUAUGGAUCGUAAACCUCUUUUAUAAGGGAAUAAAGUGUGGGACGUGUCCUAUUUUGUAUGUACCUUAUGAAUAAGGAUCGGCUAACUCCGUGCCAGCAGCCGCGGUAAUACGGAGGAUCCGAGCGUUAUCCGGAUUUAUUGGGUUUAGAGGGUGCGUAGGCGGCCUUUUAAGUCAGCGGCGAAAGUCUGUGGCUCAACCAUAGAAUUGCCGUUGAAACUGGGGGGCUUGAGUAUGUUUGAGGCAGGCGGAAUGCGUGGUGUAGCGGUGAAAGGCUUAGAUAUCACGCAGAACCCCGAUUGCGAAGGCAGCCUGCCAAGCCAUGACUGACGCUGAUGCACGAAAGCGUGGGGAUCAAACAGGAUUAGAUACCCUUGUAGUC